ACUUUUUUAGAAAAGUAUCGUGAAUUCCCAUGUCUUUGGAAAAUAAAAUCCAAAGAAUACUUAAACAAAAACUUAAAAAGUGCCGCGUAUGAUGAGCUCGUCGAUUUAUGCAAAACAAUCCAUCCUGCAGCAAACCGUGACUUCGUGGUGAAAAAAAUCCAAGGACUUCGAGGUUCCUACAGGAAAGAACUGAAAAAAGUUUUAAAUUCAAAACGUUCUGGCAAUGGAGCUGAUCAAAUUUAUAAGCCGACUCUCUGGUAUUAUGAUUUAUUAAAAUUCACCAUAGACCAAGAAACUCCAUCAAACAGCAUAUGUAAUAUUGGUAACAUAUGUAUCAAUGUUUCUGAUAGUUGUAACGAUGAAACAAAUGAGGAAACAAAUUUUGAACAGAAUAAUGACGACGAUGAUGGAGGAUCAGUGUUGGAGCUUACAAAUAUAGAUACAGCUAGUAUUAUAGAUCAGCCAACAACUUCGAAGUUUUUCUCUGCUCCUCAGCCAGCACAGACACUG
Long non-coding RNA from Metopolophium dirhodum (rose-grain aphid), 510 nucleotides. RefSeq lists it as uncharacterized. The record is from RefSeq and is a predicted model, not a curated record. The transcript is spliced from 2 exons. Lineage: Eukaryota; Metazoa; Arthropoda; Insecta; Hemiptera; Aphididae.